Molecule: ribosomal RNA, 316 nt
Filed under: uncultured bacterium
Lineage: Bacteria
Description: bacterial SSU rRNA
Rfam family: Bacterial small subunit ribosomal RNA
Source: RNAcentral
AUUGAACGCUGGCGGCAUGCCUUACACAUGCAAGUCGAACGGCAGCACGGGAGCUUGCUCCUGGUGGCGAGUGGCGAACGGGUGAGUAAUGCAUCGGAACGUGCCCUGAAGUGGGGGAUAACGUAGCGAAAGUUACGCUAAUACCGCAUGUUCUGUGAGCAGGAAAGCAGGGGAUCUUCGGACCUUGCGCUUUUGGAGCGGCCGAUGUCGGAUUAGCUAGUUGGUGGGGUAAAGGCCCACCAAGGCGACGAUCCGUAGCGGGUCUGAGAGGAUGAUCCGCCACACUGGAACUGAGACACGGUCCAGACCUCCGUAC